RNAcentral lists this transfer RNA (72 nucleotides) under Acanthothecis fontana. RNAcentral describes it as "tRNA-Gln". It matches the Rfam family "tRNA". From Rfam's summary of the family: Transfer RNA (tRNA) molecules are approximately 80 nucleotides in length. Their secondary structure includes four short double-helical elements and three loops (D, anti-codon, and T loops). Further hydrogen bonds mediate the characteristic L-shaped molecular structure. tRNAs have two regions of fundamental functional importance: the anti-codon, which is responsible for specific mRNA codon recognition, and the 3' end, to which the tRNAs corresponding amino acid is attached (by aminoacyl-tRNA synthetases). tRNAs cope with the degeneracy of the genetic code in two manners: having more than one tRNA (with a specific anti-codon) for a particular amino acid; and 'wobble' base-pairing, i.e. permitting non-standard base-pairing at the 3rd anti-codon position. The record is from RNAcentral. Lineage: Eukaryota; Fungi; Ascomycota; Lecanoromycetes; Ostropales; Graphidaceae.
GGCCCAAUAGUCAAAGGGUUAAGACACAACUCUUUCAAUGUUGAAAUGGGGAUUCGACUUCCCCUUGGGCUA